CGGCUGUGAUGAUCUCAGUCUGGUUUCGCUUGUGUCUGAUAUAUAGUGAAGACACUUCUCUUGGCUGGCUGAGCAG
Small nucleolar RNA from Hyla sarda, 76 nucleotides. RefSeq annotates it as small nucleolar RNA SNORD53/SNORD92. The transcript has a single exon. NCBI's taxonomy places the organism in Eukaryota, Metazoa, Chordata, Amphibia, Anura, Hylidae. The record is from RefSeq and is a predicted model, not a curated record.